UACGUAGGGGCCGAGCGUUGUCCGGAUUUAUUGGGCGUAAAGCGCGCGCAGGCGGCCUCGCGCGCCCGACGUGAAAGCCCCCGGCUUAACCGGGGAGGGUCGUUGGGGACGGCGGGGCUUGAGGGCGGGAGAGGGUGGUGGAAUUCCCGGUGUAGUGGUGAAAUGCGUAGAGAUCGGGAGGAAUACCCGUGGCGAAGGCGGCCACCUGGGCCGACCCUGACGCUGAGGCGCGAAGGCGUGGAGAGCGAACGGG
This 253-nucleotide ribosomal RNA is filed under the name uncultured bacterium. RNAcentral describes it as "partial 16S ribosomal RNA". It matches the Rfam family "Bacterial small subunit ribosomal RNA", at positions 524 to 776 of the family's 1533-position model. The record is from RNAcentral.